UACAUCUUCCGCACCAGUAGUGUGUCGAGUGGUAAUCCCGUGAUCCUUAUACGGCAGUUCUUCCUAGUUUUACGCGGUAGAAAUUUUGAUUUGCGCUAGUGUAGCCUACCUCGUAUCCCAACAGUGGUAUCAAGAGCCGUAGCUGCUUAGUUUUGGAUUCGGGAUGUGUGCAUGUGGAGAUAUGCGAGUUUUCUGUUUGAUCUAUGUCCUGUUUUCGUGCCCUUGCUGCAAUGGUAGUGUAACGACAUACUCCUACCGGUCGGUUUCCGCCAUCGGAGUUAAGUGAUACACGUAAAUCCAGUUGCAGUGAGCGAAGAUCAAUAUGAUUGGUCGAAUCGAAAUCCAGGGUCAUACACCAGGCGCAUUAGAUGUGCAAUAGUAGAUGGGAUCUACUGCCGGGGUCGGGAUUUUUGCCGUAUGCGUAUGCUUCGGUAAAUCAGCCGUAACUUUUCGGUACGAUCUCGAAUCGGGGCGAAUUUUAUAUGAAAAUCGAUCUACAGAAAAAGUUACACAUGAAAUUCAAUCGCUUGGCCGUUUUCGGCGAAAUUAGAUUUCCCAAAUUUGGCUUGGAAGAAGGAGUUUCGGGCCUCCAAAGUUUGGAACGUUAGGACGCUAAACUCUGUUUUGCAGGAUGUAUGUAUGUAUCUUGUGAUCAGUAUGGCCCCCUUGUGUAUGUGAUGCAUGUGUGUAACUCAUUCGUGACCUGCGUGUCGCGCGUACGGCAACACGGCAGGAGCCAUAUGUGUUGUCACUUUAUUGUACUUAAUGGUCUGCGUACCAAUCUGUGAUGAUCCAAGCAACUAUGUAAUCUUCAUUACUAGCUUCUUUACUAGCUAUUAGGCGUAAUAGCAUGUUCUAGUUCUUGGAGAACUCAUCACCAGGAGGAUGGCGCACAUGGAACAUGGAGAUGGAGAUCACCAUGGUGAACAGGUUCUGUGGAGAUGGAGAUCACCAUAUGAAAACGGGCCAUAUUGUGUCACAACUGUGUGAAUGCUAUUCUGUUUAUGUUUUACUUUCUGCAUGCUGUGAUGUUAGAAGUAGAACGAUCCCUCACAAAGUUUAAGUUAGUAUGCCCUCCCAACUAAAACUUGCACCGUCCCAUGUCUUGUAUAAUUAGUGGUGGGUCUAUGAAAUUAGGGUACCACUAGUUUUCCUUGACUAGACGGGUUUGUGUCGGACACUUACACGCCUAAGGGUUGGUUUGCUUAACAAGGUCAUCUUAACGGUUAAGGACCUUGGGGCAUAAAGGUUGGGCGCCGAGACAUAGAGAUGUCACCCAACAACAGGAGUCAUAUGUGAUAUGAUUAGCAAAAGUUGCUUACCGAUCUACCUUGUUUGCUAGCGGUGAUGCUAAAGCUCACUAGUGGACUUGUUAGUUGUGCAUCCUGAAUCACUAAGUUUCAAUAGAGGGAUAUUGAUUUUAGUGGGAGUAGAUUCUGUUAAAAUAGUUUAAUGUGAUUUGCUCUAUCAUGGAUACGUUUGUCUUAGUGUAUUUUGCAUUACUUUGUUGUAGAUUAAAUGGCACCUAGCAGCACUACACCGUUUGCUUUGCGUUCGAUCCUUGAGAAGGACAAGUUGAAUGGAACAAAUUACUCGGAUUGGAUUCGUAACCUGAGAAUUGUUCUCAGGGCUGAGAAAAAGGAAGAUGUUCUAGACAACCCACUACUAGAAGAACCUGCUGAUGAUGCACCCGCUGCUGCUAAGAAUGCUUACAAGAAAACAUGUGAUGCUAACCUCGAAGUAAGCUGCCUUAUGCUUGCUUGCAUGGAACCCGAGCUGCAGAUGCAGUUCGAAACAAACCAUGAGGUGCACGAUAUGAUCGUGGCGCUUAGAGACAUGUUCCAAACACAGGCCAGGACUGAAAGGUUCAAUGUGUCUAAGGCCUUUGUUGAGAGCAAGCUAGCAGAAGGCGCAGCAGUAGGACCACACGUAAUCAAGAUGGUUGGUUACACUCAACGGUUGGAGAAGCUGGGCUUCCCACUGGGCCAAGAGUUGGCCACUGAUUUUAUUCUUUCGUCUCUUCCGCCUAGCUAUGGGAACUUCAUCUCAAACUACCAUAUGCAUGGGACGGAGAAGGGUCUGAAUGAGCUGUGUGGCAUGCUUAAAACAGCAGAGGCUGACAUCAAGAAAAGCGCUAGUACCAGCCAUGUGAUGGCUAUACAGAACAAGCCUAGCUUUAAGAAGAAGGGCAAUUCUUGGAAGAAGAAGGGCAAGACUGGAACAUCCAAGCCAAACCCAACGCCCAAGGUUAAAGCUGGACCUGGACCUGCUCCAGACAAAGAGUGCUUUUACUGUCAUGAACUUGGUCACUGGAAGAGAAACUGCAAGCAGUACCUAGCUUCCUUGAAGAAUGGUGGAAGUAAGAGUACUUCUACCUCAGGUACGCUUGUUGUUAAUGUUAUAGACAACAUUUUUAUCGCUGAUACAAUUAUUAAUUCUUGGGUAUUUGAUACCGGAUCGGUUGCUCAUAUUUGCAAUUCGAUGCAGGGAAUGAUAAGAAGUAGAAGCGUGGAAAGAGGAGAAGUUGAUUUCCGCGUGGGCAAUAAUGCAAGAGUUGCUGCGUUGACCGUCGGGACGAUGCAACUCCACCUCCCGUCAGGAUUUAUUAUGGAGUUGAAUAAUUGUUAUUUCGUUCCUAGUUUAAGUCGAAACAUUUUGUCUCCUUCAUGCUUGAUGAAGGAUGGUUAUUCAUUUGCGAGUGAAAACAACGGUUGUCUGAUGUCUAAGAAUGAUAUGUUUAUGGCUUUUGCACCCAUUGUGAAUGGAUUAUUUGUUUUAAAUCUUGAUGGUUCACCUGUCUGUAAUGUAAGUGCUAAAAGGCCUCGGCCUAAUGAUUUGAGUCCUACCUACUUGUGGCAUUGUCGUUUGGGUCAUAUAAGUGAAAAGCGCAUGAAGAAGCUCCAUUCUAAUGGACUUCUAACUUCGUUUGAUUUUGAAUCAUACGAGACAUGUGAGGCUUGCUUGCUAGGCAAGAUGACCAAGACACCUUUCACAGGAUUUCCUGAGAGAGCAGUAGACUUGUUGGAACUCGUACAUAGUGAUGUAUGCGGACCAAUGAGCACGACGGCUAGAGGAGGAUUUCAAUACUUCAUAACUUUCACUGAUGAUUUUAGUAGAUAUGGAUAUGUCUACUUGAUGAGGCACAAGUCUGAAACCUUUGAAAAGUUCAAGGAAUUUCAGAAUGAAGUUGAAAAUCAGCGUGGCAAGAAAAUUAAGGCCUUACGAUCUAAUCGUGGAGGCGAGUAUUUGAGCCACGAGUUUAGAAAUCAUCUAAAGAGUUGCGGAAUUGUUCCACAACUUACGCCGCCUGGAACACCUCAGAGAAACGGUGUGUCCGAGCAACGUAAUCGAACUUUGUUAGACAUGGUUCGAUCAAUGAUGAGCCAGUCGGACCUACCGUUGUCAUUUUGGAGAUACGCUCUAGAAACAGCAGCUUUCACACUUAAUAGGGUACCAUCUAAAUCCCUAGUUAAGACACCAUAUGAGAUAUGGACUAGAAAGGUUCCUAGUUUGUCUUUUCUAAAGAUUUGGGGAUGUGAAGUGUUUGUCAAGCGACUUCAGUCGGACAAGAUCACACCCAAGUCGGAUAAGUGCAUUUUCGUGGGAUAUCCAAAGGAAACUUUGGGAUAUUAUUUCUACAACCGAUCAGAAGGCAAAGUGUUUGUCGCUCGGAACGGGGUUUUCCUAGAGAAAGAGUUUCUCAAAGGAGAAAAGAGUGGAAAGACAGUGCAUCUUGAAGAAGUUCAAGAUGAGCCGAUCGGGCAAGAAUCAAUGAGUGAUGCUAAUGUAGCAGAACAAGUUGAGAUACCCAUCGCAAGAGAAGCACCGCCACAACCACGAAGGUCAGCAAGGCUCCGCGAAAUGCGGGAAAUAUUAUUGUUGGACAAUGAUGAGCCUGCGACCUAUGAAGAAGCAAUGAUGGACCCAGACUCCGAAAAAUGGCAGAGUGCCAUGCAAUCCGAAAGAGAGUCCAUGGGAGACAAUCAAGUUUGGAACUUGGUUGACCCGCCUGAUGGUGUUAAAGCCAUAGAGUGCAAGUGGAUCUAUAAGAAGAAAAAGGACAUGGAUGGAAAUGUUCACAUCUAUAAAGCACGACUUGUCGCAAAAGGUUUUCGACAAGUUCAAAGAGUUGACUACGAUGAGACCUUCUCGCCCGUAGUGAUGCUUAAGUCCAUUCGGAUUAUUCUAGCUAUAGCUGCAUAUUUCGACUAUGAGAUAUGGCAGAUGGAUGUCAAGACAGCUUUCCUAAAUGGAAACCUAGCUGAGGAUGUGUAUAUGAUACAGCCCGAGGGUUUUGUCGAUCCGAAAAAUGCUGGAAAGGUAUGCAAGCUUCAGAGAUCCAUUUAUGGAUUGAAUAAGAAUUUAGGAGUUGGAACAUUCGUUUUGAUGAAGUGGUCAAAGGGUUUGACUUCACCAAGAACGAAGAAGAGUCUUGUGUUUACAAGAAGGUUAGUGGGAGCUCUGUAGUAUUUCUAAUCUUAUAUGUGGAUGACAUAUUACUGAUUGGAAAUAACAUUCCUAUGCUUGAGUCCGUAAAGACUUCACUAAAAAAUAGUUUUUCGAUGAAGGACUUAGGGGAAGCGGCAUAUAUUCUGGGCAUUAAGAUCUAUAGAGAUAGAUCGAGAAGGCUUAUAGGUUUAAGCCAAGAUACUUACAUUGACAAAGUGUUGAAGCGGUUCAGCAUGGAAGAGGCAAAGAAAGGGUUCUUGCCUAUGUCACAUGGCAUACAUCUCAGCAAGACUCAGUGUCCUUCGACUGCUGAUGAGCGGGAUCGCAUGAGUAGAGUGCCAUAUGCCUCGGCUUUUGGAUCUAUCAUGUAUGCAAUGAUAAGUACUCGCCCAGAUGUUUCAUAUGCGCUAAGUAUGACAAGCAGACACCAAUCUGAUUCAGGUGAGAGUCACUGGACAACGGUGAAAAAUAUUCUUAAGUACUUGAGAAGGACUAAAGAUAUGUUCCUCGUCUAUGGAGGUGAGGAGGAGCUCGUUGUAACAGGUUACACCGAUGCUAGUUUCCAAACCGACAGAGAUGAUUCAAAGUCACAAUCAGGAUUGUGUUCACGCUAAAUGGUGGUGCUGUUAGUUGGAAGAGUUCCAAGCAGGAGACGGUGGCCGAUUCUACGACAGAAGCCGAGUACAUCGCGGCUUCGGAAGCCGCGAAGGAAGGUGUUUGGAUAAGGAAUUUCCUCAUUGAGCUUGGUGUGUUCCCGAAUGCGUCCAGCCCAUUGAAUCUCUACUGUGAUAAUAAUGGGGCAAUUGCGCAAGCAAAGGAGCCAAGGAACUACCAGAAGAACAAACACGUAAUGCGGCAAUUUCAUCUCAUUCGAGACUUCGUUAACCGGGGUGAGAUCAAGAUAUGCAAAAUACACACGGAUCUGAACAUUUCUGAUCCGUUGACAAAACCUCUCCCGCAGGCUAAGCAUGAUGCGCAUGUAAGAGCUAUGGGUAUUAGGUACCUUCUAGAUUGACUCUAGUGCAAGUGGGAGACUGUUGGAGGUAUGCCCUAGAGGCAAUCAUAGAGAUGAUGAUAUUCCAUUUGUAUCCAUGAUCUGUAUAUUGAGUUCAUUGAAUAUCCAUUAAAGGCUACUUGAAUUGAUUUGCAAUUAUGUGAAUUGUAUGUGAAACUCUUUACUUGUAUGGUUAUUCUAAAGUUGUCCCUAGUCGGAGUUCAUGUGAGGACACACAUGAAUAUUAGACUAGCACAUGUAUUAGUUGAUGACUAUGUUUCACAAGUCAUGGACAUGGAGAUGUUGAACUAAUAAUGUGGACACAAGUGGAGACAUGUGCUAGGACUGACCCAACACGAGAAGUAGUUCUCUCUUUAAACAACAUAUACGCCUUGUCCUUAGACCUGAGAUUGUCGCAUGUAUUCUAGAUGUGGAUCGACCUACUUAGGGGCUAUCAAACGCUACGCCGUAACAGGGUAGUUAUAAAGGUAGCUUUCGGGUUUGUCAAGAACCAUGCUAUGAGACACACUACCGACUAUUGGGCCGAGUAGGAGUACUCGGGCCAUGUCUAUACGUAUCCGAACCCAUAGGGUCACACACUUAAGGGGCUGGAAGCCCAAUUCGGAUCUGAUCUGAGUUGGAUUAGGUUUAGAAGUACUAAUGGGCCUCGGACCCAGAGGCCCGUUAGGAACCUCUAUAAAUAGAGGGGUGGGGGCGCCCUAGGGUUUACACCUUUUUUGGCGAAACUCAUCUGCCGCGCCUCCCACGCCCUCGCCUGUUGCAACUCACGGAUCUAGCAGUCCGGCUUGCGACGCUUCCUCCCUGCACGUGUAGAUACCUUGGAGGUGUUGCGCCUGCAGCACUUGGACGAGCCGCCGACGAGCCACGACGAGCCGCUGACGAGCCACGACGAGCCGACGACGAGCCGCGGCACGAGGGCGAUCGUGCUGCACGUGGACGAGCUGCUGAGGAGCUGCUGGACGUUGACGUGAUCGACUACGUACGACUACGUGAUCGUCUUCACUGCAUCGACGCAUAUCUACAUCUUCCGCACCAGUAGUGCGUCGAGUGGUAAUCCCGUGAUCCUUAUACGGCAGUUCUUCCUGGUUUUACUUGGUAGAAAUUUUGAUUUGCGCUAGUGUAGCCUACCUCGUAUCCCAACACGGAAAUCCUACGAAUGCGACUACUCAAUCUCCUAGUCCCAUGCAGCAAGUCUUCACAGCUUCAAAGAAGCUCCAUCCAACCGAACUAGAGAUCCCGGAAAAUAAGUCGGGGUACACAAAGGUGAAACCCGCUAGUGAGCAAGACUUCAAAUCAGUCGACCUCCAGACCGGUGAUCCUUCCAAGACAGCCCUGAUCAGAACAGGGCUAGAUCCUAAAUAGGAAUUCACGCUCGUCAGUUUCCUUCGGGCUAACCAAGAUAUCUUCGCUUGGAAGCCGGCUGACAUGCCAGGUGUGCCCAAGGAACUAAUCGAGCAUUCUCUCAACGUCGAUUUCAAAGCUACUCCAAAAUGGCAACGACUGCGCCGGUUCGCUCAGGAUAGACGAGAAGCAAUCAAAAAAGAGUUAGCCAAGCUACUCGCGGCAGGGUUCAUCAAAGAAGUCUUUCAUCCUGACUGGCUCGCCAAUCCCGUGCUUGUUCGUAAGAAAAACAAUGAAUGGAGAAUGUGUGUUGACUACACCGACCUCAACAAACACUGCCCGAAAGAUCCUUUCAGGCUACCCAGGAUCGAUCAAGUGGUUGACUCCACCGCUGGGUGCGCUUUGCUAUGCUUUCUCGACUGCUACUCCGGCUAUCACCAAAUAAGCCUCAAAGAAGAAGAUCAAGCCAAAACAGCGUUCAUUACGCCCUUCGGAGCUUUCUGCUACAAAACAAUGUCCUUCGGACUAAAAAAUGCAGGAGCAACUUAUCAAAGGGCUAUACAGAUGUGCUUCGAAAGGCAACUUCACCGCAAUAUCGAAGCUUAUGUCGACGACAUCAUCGUCAAAACAAAAAACCGGGAGGAACUCAUUGCUGACUUGGAGGAAACUUUCUCUAGUCUCCGCGCUUUCCGAUGGAAACUCAAUCCUACUAAGUGCGUCUUUGGAGUACCUUCCGGUAAACUACUCGGGUUCAUUAUUAUCCAUCGCGGCAUUGAGGCCAACCCGGAAAAAAUAUCUGCCAUCACAAACAUGCAGGCACCAGCCAACAUUAAGGAUGUGCAGAAACUCACAGGCUGUAUGGCCGCUCUCAACCGGUUCAUCUCGAGACUUGGAGAACGGGGACUACCCUCCUUCAAGCUUCUCAAACGCCAGGACAAGUUCAAAUGGACGGAAGAGGAAGAUGAGGCAUUAACACAACUCAAAGACUUUUUGUCAAAGCCUCCUGUACUCACCGCUCCCUCUCCAAACGAAGACUUGCUCCUAUACAUCUCCGCUACUACUCAUGUCGUCAGCACGGCAAUAGUAGUCGAACGGUCUGAACCGGGCCACGCUUACAAGGUCCAACGACCUGUCUACUUCGUCAGCGAAGUACUCUUGGACUCUAAAACUCGGUAUUCACCGAAACAAAAGCUCUUAUACGCUAUUCUGCUCACCUCCCGGAAGCUGCGCCAUUACUUCCAAGAGCACAACAUCACAGUCAUCUCCGAUUUCCCGCUCGGUGAAAUUCUCCAUAACAGAGAUGCCACGGGUAGAAUCUCCAAAUGGGCACUUGAACUCGGAGCUCUCACUUUGAACUUCAAGCCAAGGACAGCCAUCAAGUCUCAGGCUUUGGUCGACUUCAUAGCUGAGUGGACUGAAAAUCAAGUUCUAAUACCAGUCGAACGACCAGAACAUUGGGUAAUGUACUUGAAGGAGCCGGCGCAGGCGUCUUACUCAUCUCUCCCAAGGGAGACCAACUCAAGUACGUGCUGCAAAUACUCUGGGAAGCAUCUAAUAACGAAGCCGAGUACGAAGCACUCCUACACGGCCUUCGCCUCGCAAUCUCCCUCGGCAUCAAACGCCUACAGGUGUACGGCGACUCUCUAGUCGUCAUAAACUAGGUCAAUGACGAGUGGGACCGGAAUAAGGACAACAUGGAUGCUUAUUGCAAAGAAGUCCGUAAACUAGAAAACAAAUUCUCAGGCUUGGAGUUUCAUCACAUCGUCCGCGACAACAACGUUGCCGCCGACGUUUUAUCCAAAAUGGGCUCAACUCGCGCAGAGGUUCCAGCAGGAAUUUUCGUACAUGAACUACGCAAGCCGUCCAUACCUGAACAAGUCACACCACCAGUAGUCUCGGCUACUGAUGUCUCUCGAGAAGUCAUGAUGAUAGAAGUCGACUGGAGGACACCCUUCAUCGACUACAUCAAAGAUCACCAGUUACCAUCCGACAAGAAUAAAGCUGAGCAAAUCUCCCAGCGAGUAAAGAAUUACAUUCUAGUCGGAGUCAAGCUCUACAGGAAAGGUGCAUCAUCUGGAGUACUCAUGAAGUGCGUCACCAGAGAAGAUGGCCAAGAAAUCCUAGAAGAGAUUCACAGAGGAAUCUGCGGCAACCACGCCUCUUCGAGGACACUAGUUGGCAAGGCUUUCAGAGCAGGCUUCUACUGGCCAAUGGCUCUAGCCGACACCAAACAAGUAGUUCAGAAAUGCAAAGGUUGUCAAUUCUUCACAAAACAGCAACAUGUACCGGCCUACAAGCUAGUCACAAUACCUCCAACAUGGCCAUUUGCCUGCUGGGGGCUCGACAUGAUAGGUCUGUUACCAACUGCGCCAGGAGGAUUCAACAGAGUACUCGUGGCAAUAGACAAGUUCACCAAAUGGAUCGAGGUCAAACCAGUCACUUGCCCCAAGGCAAACCGGGUCCUCGACUUCUUGGACGAAAUCAUACACCGCUACGGUUUUCCUAACAGGAUUAUCACAGACCUAGGGUCAAACUUCAAUAAUCACGACUUUUGGGACUAUUGCGAGAACAGCGGCAUCGAUGUCCGCUAUGUCUCGGUUGCUCACCCGUGAGCCAACGGACAAGUCGAGCAUGCUAAUGGCAUGAUACUCGAUGCUCUGAAGAAACGACUACAUGACGUUGGCAACACCAAAGGUGGCAGAUGGCUCAAAGAGUUACCCAAUGCCUUGUGGGGCCUACGCACCCAACCGUGCAAGACUACGGGGCUAUCACCCUACUUUCUGGUAUAUGGCUCGGAAGCCAUACUACCCGCUGACAUCAUGUGGCAAUCCCCAUCCGUUGAACAAUACGACGAAGAACUUGCAACAGAAACACGGCGAAUAGAUAUAGACAGUCUAGAAGAAACAAGAUGCGCAGCACUAGUGCAAUCUGCCAGAUACCUUGACGGUUUAAGGCGUUACCACGACCGCAACGUCAAGGAAAGAUCUUUCAACUCGGGCGUUAUGGUCCUUAAGUGUAUCCAAGACACGUCAGGAUUGCAUAAACUCAAUUCACCGUGGGAAGGUCCUUACAUCGUAUCAAAGGUUACAGGGCCCGGAUCUUACAGACUCCAAGAGCUCUUAGGAGAACAAGUGCCAAACUCCUAGAAUAUAGAACAUCUCUGUCGCUAUUACCCAUAGCAGCACCCGAGUAGUCGCUUCAAGGCAAUAACUCAUGACAACUACUCGGGCCAACAGCCCGACUACCGACUUCAAGAUAUCUCAGCUUCGACAAAGAGCUUCCAGCUCAACAAAGAUCAUUGCCCUAGUACAAAAUCUCCAUAUCAAUAUUUCCUUACUGAAACAAGAGUACAUCAGGUUACAUACGAGUACAAGUACAUGGAAUAUACGAAGACUACAAGCAACUGCCUAUUGGCGGGCCGCAUUUAAGCCUCAGGCUUUUACUAUAUCACUCAGGUCUGCACAAAAGGAAGGGCCCACACGCAAGGAAGCUGCGCAAAAUGCAGCCAUGCCCACGUACCCUACCCAAGGCAAUGCCAGGAACUCCAGCAUCGCCACUGCCUUGAUAGUAGCAACGACAAAUCCGGCACGACACGCCUACAGGGAACCAAGGCUGCUCUUUUGCUAGCCUCGCGGAGCCCAUCUACUCUACGGCCGCACCUCCACCUCUCUCAGAGCGGGAUAAAGACCGCGGCACUCAUCACCCAUCACUCGCGAGUUCCAGCGCGUACCCCACUGGAUCACGAGCUGCAAGAUGAGGCGUGCAACGAAACCUCCUACGAGGAUUCUUCUAGCAUCGCGGCUAUCCCUACGAGCGCAGGAGUCUGUGGAGGGAAGGUGGCCUCAAUCUAUGAGGAAUCUUCUAGCACCGGUGCACUCUUUGAUGGCUCUCUACACUCAAACAGAAGCAACUGAAGGCAAUCCAUCGCUACUCAGGAACUUGAGUUGGUUCGCUCACAAGAUGGCCCUAUUUAUAGCCGAAAGUCACAACUACCACCUGCCCAAGAGUUACUAUGCACCCGUGAUCAAUGAGUCUGACGACUCCUGACUCUGCCCACGUGACAGCACUUAUGCCACAACGGACAAAAGAGUGCAGUACACCCAUGCAUCCACAAAGGACAAAGGAGUACAGUACACUCGUGUCCCUCAAAACGAUGAGUACUCAACAGUAUUACGACUACUCGACACUCGGGACUACUACAAGCCAAGCAUGGCCUACAUCUCGGGGGCUUCGACUACUCCGACCCCAAGACCCAGGGUCAGGCGAGGCGGAAUUUUCACCCUCGAAGAGGUCAGGCUAAGCCGACCCCAAGACUCAAGGUCGGGCGAGACGAAGCUUCUCCCCUAGAGGGUCAGGCCUAGCCGACUUCAGCACUUUGGGUUGGACAAAAUGGAGUAAAACUACUCUUCGCAAGACAACAAACUUCAAAUAACAAAUCCAAAGGCUUGAUAUUCAAAAGUAUCAAAGUACUCGACACAAAUACAAAAGUACAUACAAAAGCUCAAAGCUCUUCUAAGGAGACAAAUUCCGACAUAUUGGAUGCAAUAGGCUCCGCCUCCUCAAGGUACUGCGCAUAUGCUUCCUCUGUGCAGUUGUGAGCCACGCCAUCACCAGCUGCCGCCAAGUCUGCCCUCGGGUAGUAGGACUUCACAACUACAAGAACCUGUUUGCAAACAGUCUUGCAAAGUCCCGCCACUUUACUCGGGGUAGCUCUUAGUCGCUCGACUAGCGAUUGUGAGCCUGCGCCUUCCUCCACGGGGGCUAUGGCGUUCACCAAGUCUUCGGCUGCUCCAGACAGCUCUUGGAGUUCGCCUUGAAGUCUUCCCAGGGUCUGGGCAUGGUCUCUGCAUGCCACCAUGGCCAUGGCAAGCAUCACGCCAUUUUGCAUCUUUCGGUCCCGCUGAUGCUCGCAAGCAGCCUGUGCUUCCGUCAACGCAACCCGAAGAUGUUUGGCUUCAUCUGCCACUCGGUCAUGAGCGUUUCUCUAGUCGAUGACUUGGCUCCUUGCAGCCGCUUCCUGCUUCUUGAGCUCUACAAAGCAAAGAACUUAGGCCACAGCCAACUACAGUUGGACACACCCAGAGUAGUCAAAAUGCUUACCUUGAUACUUCCUGUUCAAGGACUUGUAGCGGCUCUCCAGUUUUUCCUGCAGAACCGCGUGAUCCGCGCGUUCCAUGGCAAAGGACUUCACCUCGACUUCAUGAACCCGCAGAGCUUCUGUCAGUCGGGCACAUUCCUGCUCCAGCUGAUGGCUUCUUUCCUGAAAAAAAUCCAAGUAUGGUGUGGUGAGUUUCAAGCCUCACAACUACUCGGGACAUGCAACAAACUCAACAAGGAAAUCUACCUGGAAGCCCCGAAAAACAUCGAUGGCUCUCUGGAACUCCAAGUCAGAAGGCAGGCUAAGUACUGGCCUUUGGGUACUCUCCACAAGAUGAGGAAUCGUACCCAGAGUAGCACCUACAACAUUUAUCAUAUCAGCUACCGGCUACGACUACAAUAAAAAGACUACAGAGACAUACCUGGAGUAGUCGCUUGUUUGGCUUUUUCAAAAUCCACUACGGCCAGCGAUCCGCCAGAUGAUAAUAUAGUGCCUCCUGAGCCCGAUGCAGCAGUAGGAACCUCCACCGAGCGAAUUACGUCUUGAAGCAUCAACAUAGUAGCUCCAAGACGACCGGCGCCAACCUCGGGUACCUCUUCAACAGUCAAGUCCUCCAAAGGAACAGAUAUUGUAGUCGAGGGAUCUGGCACUACCCCUGUCUCUACAGGGAUAGUCUCCUCUGCAUCUCUGCACCAAAAAGUGUCACUACAUGACUUCAAGACAACCCAACAUCAUUCAAACAGACAAGAAAGCUCACCGGUUGAACGUGGCGGUAGUCGCACACGCUUCUUCUCGGUGACAGGCGGCCGAGUACUAGGAGCCGCGGGAAUAGCCACCGGCGUUGUCUUCUCGCCAAGGCCUACAAAACCGAAGUCAAGACUACAAUACUACUCAAACGAAUACAAUCGGAAGGGACAACGCUUACCACUGGCGAUCACAUUGGAUAGCAAAGUACCAGUAGCAAGUACUGGCGACACCUCCUUUGCAACGCCCGCUACUCCAGCAGGUAGCCCCAAGACCGCUUGGUCAGCAAUGGGCGGCAUGGCAGCCGAUGGAGUAGGCGCGGGUAGCUCGAGGGCUACUCCAGUUUCUGUUGAUGGCGCCUCCGGCACCAUGUCAACAGACACAUUACCGACUUCUAGGUCGGUCACGGCCAUUUCUUCAGAAACAGCCUCAUCUUCACCAAGUGCCGUAUCUACAGCCUUCACAAACAAAAACAAAAUUCGCCACAUCAAUAACGAGUUCAAAUCCAUCAGUAACAGACAAGUUCACGACUACAUACCUUGGUACCCCGAGACUUCUCAGGGGUUGAAGCAGACUUAGCCGCAGACAUCUUGCGGACUACUCUGCAUCUCUUAACAGGAGGAGAAGGCUCGUCCUCCGACUCCUCGACAACGGCUUCCGACUCUUCUUCCGACUGCGCCAAGUAGCCGGCAAGAACUUGAGACUACAAACAACAAGUCGAUAUCAGCAACAAGUAUCACAUAAGUCAAAAGAGAACAAGUCAGGAGCAAAAGACAUACCACUUCUGGCUCGUACCAGGCAUCAUACUGACGAAGGGCUGCAAGGAUUACUGGUACUCCCUGAUAGUUCCUAAAAAACUUAACCAGCAGCGCCUCUACGUCAUCAUCGGAUAUGUCCUCAUCGGACAUACGCGAUCGAUCCUUCAGACCUACGUACUCACUUCCCGAGUGAGCACGUUGUUGAAGUGGCUGGACCCUUCUCUUCAGGAAGCUAGCCGCCACGUUGAUCCCAGUCAAACCAAGUGCCUUCAACUCGGUGAUUUGCUGCAUCAGGUGAUCGAGCUCAGGGGUGUCCUCGGGAUCGCUCACCCAGUUUUCCGCAUGCUUGGGCGCGUGAUCAAUCACCACAGGCAAGCGAGGUUCAUGGUUCCCGAUGUAGAACCACCUUUUCUUCCACUCCCCGUGGGAGUCGGUCAGGUUAUACUCAAUAUACGCGCCCGAGUUCCUGAGUUGGAACCCAGCGCCUCCAAAGACUUCCAUCCGUUGGGCACUCGGCUGAGGCUUACAACGGAAUAGCUUCCUAAACAACUCGAGGCUGGGAGGAACUCCUAGGUAAACUUCGCAAAGGUGUACGAAAAUAGACAUGUGCAGUACACCAUUGGGAUUCAAAUGGACGAGUUGAAGUUUAUAAUACUCAAGAAUACCUCUGAAGAAGUCGGAGGUGGGCACCGCCAACCCCCUUUCCACAAAAUGCAUGAGCAUCACUGUCUCGCCUGGAUGCUCCUCAAACUACCACGCAUUGGGAAACGUGGGGCGCCACUCAAGAAUCUCCUUCGGCUGAAGGAGCUUUGCAUCAACUAGCGCUUGGACCGCUUCCUCCUUCAUCACCGAGUGUUGCCAGGUUGCCCCAGGCGGCGGCGGUGCAGUUUGGUUUGUCGGCCCCACCUUCGGCGCCGGCAGCACCAGCUCCUUCCCUUUCUUGGAUUUCACCUUGCCCGUCGCCGGAACCUUGCCCUGAAUCUUCUCGGGUUUCUUGCCCAUCUUCUUGGUGUGCAUUCGACGGACUCAACCUCAAGUUAGAAGGAGCUCACACUCAGAUCUUUCUCAAAAAGCGGCAAUAGCGGCGGCGGUGGCGCUGGCGGCGGUGAAACGCAGAGCGGAGGUGCAUAGGAGGAAGAAAAAGAGAUCCUAUUGCCGUACGGCGUAACAACAACUGAAAGGGGGCCUUCCAGUUUUAUCUCCGCCAGCCCCGGUUUCCACGCGUCGGUUGCGCAACAGACAGAUUAAUUGCGUAUUAAUCGCCUUAAACAUCCAACGGCUACUCUAUUCAACGGACUGCUGACCACUUCAACGACAAAGAUCGCCUAAGUGCUCGGGAGCUGCGGGUACCGUACCUGUUGAUCAGUUUUUUCUUUUCCCAAGAUCUCCAAGGGGAUGAAAACAACUCGAAGGAGCAAAAAGAGUACCUUCCAGCCACGUGACAGCACUUGAGCACUUCAGUCUGCAACUUCUACGACUAGCUACUCGGAUAGCGCCCGUAGUGCCCAAGACUGUGGCGCACGACUACAAAGUACUCGGGGGCUUGUCGGGCCUAGACCCCAGGUCCACGAGUAGGCCUUGGACGGCCCAUCAAGGGACGUACUCGGACAAGAUCAGAACAAGGAUGGGCGUAUCCUACUCGGACUAGCCAAGUAUGUUUAUGGAAGACUACUCGGGCUGUUACCGAGUAGAACUCUGUAAUAGUACCCGACUAGGACUCAGACUUGUAACCCUGCCCUCCUGUGCAUAUAAGGGCGGGCAGGGACCCCCCUCAAAAUAGAGACAUCAUAUCAUCAUACAUCAAUACAAACCAACACACAGGACGUAGGGUAUUACGCGAUCUAGUGGCCCGAACCUGUCUAAAUCGUGUUCCUUGCGCACCAUUGAUUCCUUGAUUCUCAUCGACCCUUACCGCAUAAAAGACCACCUAGGGUACCCUCUAGGCGGGUUGCCAGUCUAAAACACCGACAGCUGCCGAUCGGUUCAGCAAUUUAAUGUUUACCUUGUCAAUUUUCAUGUCAAAUUGACUAUCACGCCUUGCACCACUAGCGAGGCAAUUUGGAGCCUGCACUGGAGUUAAGGAGAUCUCCCAAGUCCUCCGUGUUGUUCAACGUAGAAGCCUAAAGUCCAGAUUUUGCAUCAACACACUCUUGGCACGCCUAGUGGUACUAACAAUCAACAAACAUCAUUAGUGCUCGUCGUUGCCUCAACUUCGAUUAGAUGGCUGGCGAACCUGGUGAAAAUCAAGGUGAUCCUAUGGCUUCUAAGGAGUUUACUGCUGCUCAGAUUACCCUGGAUAAGCUUGAUGAACAACAAAGGAAAGAAUUCGAAGAUGCCAGGGAUCUAUUCGUGGUAGCAUGUUUGCAAUCAUUCAGUUUGAACCGCAACAAGGCUCACAAGAAACAUCCUUCAUCAGUACCUAUAAUGCCAGGACAAGUGCUGCCAUCUAGGGAUAAGGACCUGGUGGAUAGGGAAGAUGACCUCGAGCUUGAGUCCAAAAUUACUUCUAUGGUCAGCAAUGCUCUAAUCAAUCCAACUAGUGUAUUGGCGAAUGAGAUUCAGAAAAUGAUUUAAUAGGUUGCGAAUCAUUACGUCAGCAAGUAUUCUUACAAAAGGUAUGUUCCUAAUACGUCCGGCUACGGAGGUGGUGCACCAAGUUCAUCUUCCAGAUAGCCGAUGGGGCAGCCUGCAGUCGGCCUAACAGUUGGCCAACCGAUUCAUAAAAAGACGGGGCCGAUUCCUAUCCAGACUACAAAUCAAAACUCAACACCACCAAGGCAGCCAGAUUUUACAUCUAAAGGUAAUAGGGUGUUUGAUACUCGCCAGCCUCAAGCUAUGGAUGGAUUCAUGCUAGUUUCUCUACAUUCACUGUACAGGAAUGGGCAGAACAAUGAAGAUUUGGCUGCAAAGAUUGCUGAGGUGAUGGGGAGUCAAUUUGGGUUGAAGCCUAAGGAGCAGUCUUAUAUAUAUAUAUAUAUAUAUAUAUAUAUAUAUAUAUAGGAUUAUACUAUACAAUACCCUAGGUACGGAAUAAUAUUCCGUACCCGAACUCACCCGCGGAUCCGGCUCCCACCUCCCCUCCCGCCGAUUUUUCCUCUCCCGCAUCCCCCAGUUUUUUUCCGACUUUUUUUUUCCCGAACGUGGGUCUUCCCAUCGUGGGUGGUCAGUUCCUGUCCGUCCAGUUCUCAUGCUAGCGGACGCUGCCGCUCGCCAUUCGCUGCAGUCGCCGCUCGCCAACCCCUAUGAGCUCCAGCGCCAGCUCAUCGCCGCCGCCUCCGCCGCCAACUCCGCGUCCGGCGUCCAGUCGCCUCCGCCUCUCCCCAUCCGCAGCCGCCGCCGCCGCUCGCCAUCCGCAGCUGCCGCCGCCGCCGCUCGCCCGCAGCUGCCGCCGCCGCCCCUCUCCUCCUCCACAUCGACGCCGCGCCGCCCCUCGCGUCGACCCCGCACCUCCUCUCUCCUCCGCGUCGACCCCGCGCCGCCCCUCUCCUCCGCAUCGAUGCCGCGCCGGAUGCCGCAAUAGCCGUCCAGGCUCUAAGGUAGAAUCUGACCGGUUCCUUGUGCUUUCCUAUUGUUAUCAGACUGUACUUCAGCUCCUGUUCAUUUGUUUGGUCUUUGCGUGAGAUGGAUCCAGCAACUGAUGCCUUCUUGGUAUUUUUUCUUUGUGGAUUACUAAUUCAAGUUUGCAGUAAAGAGUGGAUUGGGAAUUGUAGAAUCCACAGUUUGAUGGCUGAGGGAUGCUGGUUCCUCAGAUAAGAACUAGAUGUUUAUUUGUUGGUUGAGGGAUUCCUGUUCAGAUAACUAGAGCUUUAUUAAUUUCCCCUUUUCUCUUAUAAACAAAUUGAUGAGUUUUAUUUGUGAAUAUGUCUAGAUGAGUUCCUGUUCAAAAUUCAGAUAUGCAACUUGUUUUCAUUCAGUGAUGUAAAUGUUCAGAUGUGCAUGCUUCCUACUGGCUGAUAUGCAUUCAUUUCAUCCAAGAGAUGCUGAUCUGAUUUUGCCAAUCCAAAUUUGCUGCUAGGUGCAGGCUUGGUUUGAUCACCUGAUAUGAGUUAAUAUAUUUGGAUCAAUAUACUUUGUUAAUCAUUCCAGAUGUUUUUGAAGCUUUGCACUUGAAAACAUUGUGGUUCAUGAGCUUGCCUGAUCAAUAUGCCUUUUUUUUAAUCUGAAAUGAUUAUGGUAUGCCCGAUUGGCAUUUUUUUUUAGCCCCCGUGUUCAGCGAGGUUCACCAUGGAUCUGCUCUGACCUGCUGAACUCGUUCAGACAUUGAGCCUAGUUCUGAGAGCAAUUUUCAUGCCCAGCUUACAGGCAAGAUCCAUGUGCUAAUGCAGUCUCAUAGUUAUCUGGAUGCAUUGACUUGAAUUUGGACUACAUGAUUUCUCUGAUCUCAGUUUAUCUCGCUGAGACACCAGGAGCUGCUGCGCCUGCAAAUUGGUUGUUGCCUAGAUCAUUCUAGUCAUCAAUUAAAAAAAAUCUAGUCAUGGUUUCUAAUUGUAGUAUGCUCAUGUUUUAUGCCAUUCUAGUAUCUAUCCAAAUAAAAAUUCUUUGAGUUGGCAUAUUAUCCAUGUUGCUUAUUCCACAAUGUAGAUCAGUCCUUUUCGACAAGGUUUAUUUGUUGGGUAAGAGAUACCUAUUCAGAUAACUAGAGAUUUGUUUCCAUCUUUUCUCUUAUAAAUGAUUUGAUGACUUUUACACUUUUAUUUGUGAAUAUGACUAGAUGAGUUCCAAUUAAAAAUUCAGAUGAGCGAUUUGGUUUUGGUUCAGUGAUGUAAAUUUUCAGAUGUGCAUGCUUCUUACUGCCUGAUAUACAUUCAUCUGAGAGAUGCUGAUAUGAUUUGCCAAUCCGAAUUUGGUGCUAGGUGCAGGUUUUGGUUUGAUCCCUUGAUAUGAGUUAAUAAAUUCAGAUCAGUAUAAUUUGUUAAUCAUUCCAGAUGUUCUGAAGCUUUGGACUUAAAAACAUUGCGGUUCAUGAACUAGUUUGCCUUAUCAAUAUGCUUCUUUCUAUCCGAAAUGCUUAUGGUAUGCCUGAUUGGCUUCUUUUUUUUAGUCCCUGACGUUGUGGGUUGCUGUCUCUACAGGGAUGAUGGGAUGGCUCCUGCUGCCAAGGCCCAUGCUUCAUGACAAGCUGGAGAUGACGAGGAGAAGGCCAAUAGUGUUACGUGAAUUACCCAACCCCUGAGGGUACCGACCCAAACAUAGCCAUUUGGAGCAUCCUUUGUGCAGGUGUUGAGCACCAGGACCAUCUUGCUAAACUUCCAUGUGCUGAGAUUAGGUUCCUGCCUUCAUCUUUGAUUUGGUUAUAUUACCCAUUUUCACCGCUCUAUUCUUCAACUCCGUUCAUUUUAUUUUAGCUCUUGCAUGAGAUGGGUCCUGCAAACGUCUUUCUUAUUGAUAUUAACAGUAGCAAGGUAUCCUAAGAGAACUUUUCAGAGCUAGUGUUGUCGGUUCUUACUGCCUGAUAUUUAUUGACCAUGGGAGAAUCUGAUCAGGUUUGCCAGUCCAAAUCUUGUGCUAGGUGCGGACUGUCGUCCUGCGUGUGGAAAAUCAACGUUAUCUUCUGACUUUAUUCUGAUCUUAUUCUUUUUGGCAGACUGCAACUUCCGGUGUAAUAUAGUGGUGCAGAAAUUCAUUUCUCAUCCAAUUUGCAAUUUCAAUUUUGUUCUUACUAUUUAAUUUCCAUCUUCUCCUACAUGCAAUCAGAGACCGAUCGACAUGCAGUACCUGAUUUCCAUUUGUUCAUUAGUAGCAUGGUGGAUGUACUCAUGGUGGGUUCAGGUUUCUCGAGCUCAGGUUGCUUUGUUGCUUUGUUUGGGACUACUCUUAAUAAUAAGUCAAUCUAUACAGUUUCUGCUGAACAAGUAGAUGUUGUGUUUCGUUAACCACAGUUAGGUGCAACUGUUCUGGGUCUUCUUAGCUUUAGCAAAAAUAUUUGGGUUUUUAUUUGUCUCAGAAGCGAUUAUUGAUUGUGGUUAAAGGAUUCACUCACUUCAAUUGGAAUGUAGCAAAGUUUCUGCACCUAUAUUUCAUUAUUUACAAUUACACAGAAGCUUUUCUAUCCACAUGUGACAUUGUUAUACGCAACCUUUUGUUAUCGUGUUCUAUUGCAGGCUCGGGCGGCAGUGAGUACAAUGAGGUCACAAGCAAACUUCAGGAACGAAUACACUAACAGAGAUUGUGACAAGCUCACUAUGGUCUGCUUCUGAUUAAGACACCAGGAAUUAGUAGUGCAAUGCAUAAAAAAGUUGUACUAUGGUUUAGAUGCCCACAUGUUUCAAUAUGUUGUUUUCACGAUCCGAUUUCAGUCUGUUUGUGUGCAAGUAAGUUACAAGCAAUGUGGCUACGAGGCAGAUGACAUUGGUCACAGAGAGGACAGAGAACAAAGAUUCAUUAACCAAUUAGUAUUCUUGGGACACCUGACUGCUCAGUCUUUUUUAAUUCCGUCUCAUGAAAUUGAGACACUGGUCGCCAAUUUGUAUGGCUAGAUUUAUCACGAAUGUAAAGAUCACUCAGUCGUUGAAUAUUUACUGUACUAGCUCACAUUUCAAUUAAUAAAAAAAGAUAAGUUGGACCUUAAAGACCCUUUGAUAUGAUGAACAAACAUUUUAAUUAAGGAAACAUGACAAUUUCGAUGGUUCAAUCUAAACAUUGGUCCGUUUGAUCAUACAAACUGAAUUCUUGAACCAACAAUUAUACAAUUUUAAAUACUUUUUUAACCAAUGAAUGUUCUAUGGAGCAAAUUUUGCAAAUUUUUUUUUAAAUUCUGUUAUGUAGUGUCUGCAAACAAAAAGCAAUGAAUGUUCUAUGGAGCAAAUUUUGUAAUUUUUACAAUUCUAUUUUAUAGAAUUUCCAAAUAAUCAGAAGGCUUGCCAUUUAGUGCGUCCUUUUCCAAUACGUGUUUUUUCUCGAAAUAGUUUGUAGAUCAAGAAAAAAAGAUCCGUACUUCUAGGUGUAAGGAUAUUUGGACCUUAACUAAUUGCAACCCUUCUGUGAUCUAGCUGUCUUCAACGAAUGAACAUGCAGAAACCUGCAAACACUUGGGCAAACUGAGCUGGGCAGUGGGCCAGGGGCGGCUGUUUUUUUCUUUGUGAGGAAACUGGCCAAUACAAAAACUGCAGAGUGCAGACAGAUGUGGUUCAGCGCGUGGAGAAAAACGGGAAAACGGACCGCACAGACGCACAGUACGUCGGGUGGGGCGAUGCGUGGAAAAAAAACCCGGACCCUAUGGGUUGCGGGAGCUUUUUGCUAAGUUUUCUAGAGAAGACAACAUGUCUACAAGGGAACAUGUUAGCCGAUUCUUGGUUCAAUGUGGAGAAGGAGCUUCAAUGGAUGCACUCAAGGUGUGUAUGUUCCCGUUGUCAUUGAUAGGACCUGCCUUCACGUGGUUUUCUACGUUGACACCCAACUCCAUCAACAGUUGGGAAGAUUUGGAAAGAUUAUUUCACAAGCACUACUGUGUAGAGGCCUAAGAGAUGAAGCUAACAAAUCUUAUAAUGAUGAAGCAAAAGAACGGGGAGUCAGUGGCUACAUUUGUCCAAAGGUUCAGAGAAGUGCGAAAUAAGUGUUACAACAUAUACUUAACUGAUGGACAAUUGGUAGAAUUGGCUUACCAAGGACACUUGGAGCCCAUUAAGGAAAAGAUUGCUCCUCAAGACUUUGAGAGUUUGGCACAUAUGGUGCACAAGGUUUUGGUUCAUGAAAGCCGAUUCUAGCACACACGUAGGGGCAAGUAUGUCCUAUUUUCGUGCCCUUGCUGCAAUGGUAGUGUAACGACAUACUCCUACCGGUCGGUUUCCGCCAUCGGAGUUAAGUGAUACACGUAAAUCCAGUUGCAGUGAGCGAAGAUCAAUAUGAUUGGUCGAAUCAAAAUCCAGGGUCAUACGCUAGGCGCAUUAGAUGUGCAAUAGUAGAUGAGAUCUACUGCCGGGGUCGGGAUUUUUGCCGUAUGCGUAUGCUUCGGUAAAUCAGCCGUAACUUUUCGGUACGAUCUCGGAUCGGGGCGAAUUUUAUAUGAAAAUUGAUCUACAGAAAAAGUUACACAUGAAAUUCAACGGCUUUGCCGUUUUUGGCGAAAUUAGAUUUCCCAAAUUUGGCUUGGAAGAUGGAGUUUCGGGCAUCUGAAGUUUGGAACGUUAGGACGCCUAACUCUGUUUUGCAGGAUGUAUGUAUGUAUCUUGUGAUCAGUAUGGCCCCCUUGUGUAUAUGAUGCAUGUGUGUAACUCAUUCGUGACCUGCGUGUCGCGCGUACGGCAACACGGCAGGAGCCAUAUGUGUUGUCACUUUAUUGUAUUUAAUGGUCUGCGUACCAAUUUGUGAUGAUCCAAGCAACUAUGUAAUCUUCAUUACUAGAUUCUUUACUAGCUAUUAGGCGUAAUAGCAUGUUCUAGUUCUUGGAGGACUCAUCACCAGGAGGAUGGCGCACAUGGAACAUGGAGAUGGAGAUCCCCAUGGUGAACAGGUUCUAUGGAGAUGGAGAUCACCAUAUGAAAACGGGCCAUACUGUGUCACAACUGUGUGAAUGCUAUUCUGUUUAUGUUUUACUUUUUGCAUGCUGUGAUGUUAGAAGUAGAACGAUCCCUCACAAAGUUUAAGUUAGUAUGCCCUCCCAACUAAAACUUGCACCGUCCCAUGUCUUGUACAAUUAGUGGGGGGUCUAUGAAAUUAGGGUACCACUAGUUUUCCUUGACUAGACGAGUUUGUGUCGGACACUUACACGCAUAAGGGUUGGUUUGCUUAACAAGGUCAUCUUAACGGUUAAGGACCUUGGGGCAUAAAGGUUGGGUGCCGAGACAUAGAGAUGUCACCCAACAACAGGAGUCAUAUGUGAUAUGAUUAGCAAAAGUUGCUUACCGAUCUACCUUGUUUGCUAGCGGUGAUGCUUAAGCUCACUAGUGAACUUGUUAGUUGUGCAUCCUGAAUCACUAAGUUUCAAUAGAGGGAUAUUGAUUUUAGUGGGAGUAGAUUCUGUUAAAAUAGUUUAAUGUGAUUUGCUCUAUCAUGGAUACGUUUGUCUUAGUGUAUUUUUCAUAACUUUGUUGUAGAUUAAAUGGCACCUAGCAGCACUACACCGUUUGCUUUGCGUUCGGUCCUUGAGAAGGACAAGUUGAAUAGAACAAAUUACUCGGAUUGGAUCCGUAACCUGAGAAUUGUUCUCAGGGCUAAGAAAAAGGAAGAUGUUCUAGAUAACCCACUACCAGAAGAACCUGCUGAUGAUGCACCCGCUGCUGCUAAGAAUGCUUACAAGAAAACAUGUGAUGCUAACCUCGAAGUAAGGUGCCUUAUGCUUGCUUGCAUGGAACCCGAGCUGCAGAUGCAGUUCGAAACAAACCAUGAGGCGCACGAUAUGAUCGUGGCGCUUAGAGACAUGUUCCAAACACAGGCCAGGACUGAAAGGUUCAAUGUGUCUAAGGCCUUUGUUGAGAGCAAGCUAGCAGAAGGCGCAGCAGUAGGACCACACGUAAUCAAGAUGGUUGGUUACACUCAACGGUUGGAGAAGCUGGGCUUCCCACUGGGCCAAGAGUUGGCCACUGAUUUUAUUCUUUCGUCUCUUCCGCCUAGCUAUGGGAACUUCAUCUCGAACUACCAUAUGCAUGGGAUGGAGAAGGGUCUCAAUGAGCUGUGUGGCAUGCUUAAAACAGCAGAGGCUGACAUCAAGAAAAGCACUAGUACCAGCCAUGUGAUGGCUAUACAGAACAAGCCUAGCUUUAAGAAGAAGGGCAAUUCUUGGAAGAAGAAGGGCAAGGCUGGAACAUCCAAGCCAAACCCAACGCCCAAGGUUAAAGCUGGACCUGGACCUGCUCCAGACAAAGAGUGCUUUUACUGUCAUGAACUUGGUCACUGGAAGAGAAACUACAAGCAGUACCUAGCUUCCUUGAAGAACGGCGGAAGUAAGAGUACUUCUACCUCAGGUACGCUUGUUGUUAAUGUUAUAGACAACAUUUUUAUCGCUGAUACAAUUAUUAAUUCUUGGGUAUUUGAUACCGGAUCGGUUGCUCAUAUUUGCAAUUCGAUGCAGGGAAUGAUAAGAAGUAGAAGCAUGGAAAGAGGAGAAGUUGAUUUCCGCGUGGGCAAUAAUGCAAGAGUUGCUGCGUUGACCGUCGGGACGAUGCAACUCCACCUCCCGUCAGAAUUUAUUAUGGAGUUGAAUAAUUGUUAUUUCGUUCCUAGAUUAAGUCGAAACAUUUUGUCUCCUUCAUGCUUGAUGAAGGAUGGUUAUUCAUUUGCGAGUGAAAACAACGGUUGUCUGAUGUCUAAGAAUAAUAUGUUUAUGGCUUUUUCACCCAUUGUGAAUGGAUUAUUUGUUUUAAAUCUUGAUGGUUCACCUGUCUGUAAUGUAAGUGCUAAAAGGCCUCGGCCUAAUGAUUUGAGUCCUACCUACUUGUGGUAUUGUCGUUUGGGUCAUAUAAGUGAAAAGCGCAUGAAGAAGCUCCAUUCUGAUGGACUUCUAACUUCGUUUGAUUUUGAAUCAUACGAGACAUGUGAGGCCUGCUUGCUACGCAAGAUGACCAAGACGCCUUUCACAGGAUUUCCUGAGAGAGCAGUAGACUUGUUGGAACUCGUACAUAGUGAUGUAUGCGGACCAAUGAGCACGACGGCUAGAGGAGGAUUCCAAUACUUCAUAACUUUCACUGAUGAUUUUAGUAGAAAUGGCUAUGUCUACUUGAUGAGGCACAAGUCUGAAACCUUUGAAAAGUUCAAGGAAUUUCAGAAUGAAGUUGAAAAUCAGCGUGGCAAGAAAAUCAAGGCCUUACGAUCUGAUCGUGGAGGCGAGUAUUUGAGCCACGUGUUUAGCAAUCAUCUAAAGAGUUGCGGAAUUGUUCCACAACUUACGCCGCCUGGAACACCUCAGAGAAACGGUGUGUCCGAGCGACGUAAUCGAACUUUGUUAGACAUGGUUCGAUCAAUGAUGAGCCAGUCGGACCUACCGUUGUCAUUUUGGGGAUACGCUCUAGAAACAGCAGCUUUCACACUUAAUAGGGUACCAUCUAAAUCCCUAGUUAAGACACCAUAUGAGAUAUGGACUAGAAAGGUUCCUAGUUUGUCUUUUCUAAAGAUUUGGGGAUGUGAAGUGUUUGUCAAGCGACUUCAGUCGGACAAGAUCACACCCAAGUCGGAUAAGUGCAUUUUCGUGGGAUAUCCAAAGGAAACUUUGGGAUAUUAUUUCGACAACCGAUCAGAAGGCAAAGUGUUUGUCGCUCGGAACGGGGUUUUCCUAGAGAAAGAGUUUCUCAAAGGAGAAAAGAGUGGAAAGACAGUGCAUCUUGAAGAAGUUCAAGAUGAGCCGAUCGGGCAAGAAUCAAUGAGUGAUGCUAAUGUAGCAGAACAAGUUGAGAUACCCAUCGCAAGAGAAGCACCGCCACAACCACGAAGGUCAGCAAGGCUCCGCGAAAUGCGGGAAAUAUUAUUGUUGGACAAUGAUGAGCCUGCGACCUAUGCAGAAGCAAUGAUGGACCCAGACUCCGAAAAAUGGCAGAGUGCCAUGCAAUCCGAAAGAGAGUCCAUGGGAGACAAUCAAGUUUGGAACUUGGUUGACCCGCCUGAUGGUGUUAAAGCCAUAGAGUGCAAGUGGAUCUAUAAGAAGAAAAAGGACAUGGAUGGAAAUGUUCACAUCUAUAAAGCACAACUUGUCGCAAAAGGUUUUCGACAAGUUCAAAGAGUUGACUACGAUGAGACCUUCUCGCCCGUAGUGAUGCUUAAGUCCAUUUGGAUUAUUCUAGCUAUAGCUGCAUAUUUCGACUAUGAGAUAUGGCAGAUGGAUGUCAAGACAGCUUUCCUAAAUGGAAACCUAGCUGAGGAUGUGUAUAUGAUACAGCCCGAGGGUUUUGUCGAUCCGAAAAAUGCUGGAAAGGUAUGCAAGCUUCAGAGAUCCAUUUAUGGAUUGAAUAAGAAUUUAGGAGUUGGAACAUUCGUUUUGAUGAAGUGGUCAAAGGGUUUGACUUCACCAAGAACGAAGAAGAGUCUUGUGUUUACAAGAAGGUUAGUGGGAGCUCUGUAGUAUUUCUAAUCUUAUAUGUGGAUGACAUAUUACUGAUUGGAAAUAACAUUCCUAUGCUUGAGUCCGUAAAGACUUCACUAAAAAAUAGUUUUUCGAUGAAGGACUUAGGGGAAGCGGCAUAUAUUCUGGGCAUUAAGAUCUAUAGAGAUAGAUCGAGAAGGCUUAUAGGUUUAAGCCAAGAUACUUACAUUGACAAAGUGUUGAAGCGGUUCAGCAUGGAAGAGGCAAAGAAAGGGUUCUUGCCUAUGUCACAUGGCAUACAUCUCAGCAAGACUCAGUGUCCUUCGACUGCUGAUGAGCGGGAUCGCAUCAGUAGAGUGCCAUAUGCCUCGGCUAUUGGAUCUAUCAUGUAUGCAAUGAUAAGUACUCGCCCAGAUGUUUCAUAUGCGCUAAGUAUGACAAGCAGACACCAAUCUGAUCCAGGUGAGAGUCACUGGAUAGCGGUGAAAAACAUUCUUAAGUACUUGAGAAGGACUAAAGAUAUGUUCCUCGUCUAUGGAGGUGAGGAGGAACUCGUUGUAACAGGUUACACCGAUACUAGUUUCCAAACCGACAGAGAUGAUUCAAAGUUACAAUUAGGAUUUGUGUUCACGCUAAAUGGUGGUGCUGUUAGUUGGAAGAGUUCCAAGCAGGAGACGGUGGCCGAUUCUACGACAGAAGCCGAGUACAUCGCGGCUUCGGAAACCGUGAAGGAAGAUGUUUGGAUAAGGAAUUUCCUCAUUGAGCUUGGUGUGUUCCCGAAUGCGUCCAGCCCAUUGAAUCUCUACUGUGAUAACAAUGGGGAAAUUGCGCAAGCAAAGGAGCCAAGGAACCACCAGAAGAACAAACACGUAAUGCGGCGAUUUCAUCUCAUUCGAGACUUCGUUAACCGGGGUGAGAUCAAGAUAUGCAAAAUACACACGGAUCUGAACAUUUCUGAUCCGUUGACAAAACCACUCCCGCAGGCUAAGCAUGAUGCGCAUGUAAGAGCUAUGGGUAUUAGGUACCUUCUAGAUUGACUCUAGUGCAAGUGGGAGACUGUUGGAGGUAUGCCCUAGAGGCAAUCAUAGAGAUGAUGAUAUUCCAUUUGUAUCCAUGAUUUGUAUAUUGUGUUCAUUGAAUAUCCAUUGAAGGCUACUUGAAUUGAUUUGCAAUUAUGUGAAUUGUAUGUGAAACUCUUUACUUGUAUGGUUAUUCUAAAGUUGUCCCUAGUCGGAGUUCAUGUGAGGACACACAUGAAUAUUAGACUUGCACAUGUAUUAGUUAAUGACUAUGUUUCACAAGUCAUGGACAUGGAGAUGUUGAACUAAUAAUGUGGACACAUGUGGAGACAUGUGCUAGGACUGACCCAACACGAGAAGUAGUUCUCUCUUUAAACAACAUAUACGCUUUGUCCUUAGACCUGAGAUUGUCGCAUGUAUUCUAGAUGUGGAUUGACCUAAUUAGGGGCUAUCAAACGCUACGCCGUAAUAGGGUAGUUAUAAAGGUAGCUUUCGGGUUUGUCAAGAAGCAUGCUAUGAGACAUGGUCAAUCAAGAUGGGAUUUGCCCCUCUCUGAUUGAGAGUGAUAUCUCUGGACCCCUCGAGUGAUCGGAUCCGAAAAUGCAUGGCCAUGCUACGUACGGUUAAGAGUUAACCUACAAAGGGAUUCCGAAUCACAUGAUCGAGAAAGAGCGGUCGGCUUGAAGCUAGACUAAAUAUCAUGAGGCAAAGGGAAUAGCAUGUAUAUUAUGUUGUGAUGGUUCGUUUGAUAUGAUCUUCGUGUGCGUAUAGGAGUUGGCACGUCUUGCUAGAGGCCGCUACCGACUAUUGGGCCGAGUAGGAGUACUCGAGCCAUGUCUAUACGUAUCCGAACCCAUAGGGUCACACACUUAAGGGGCUGGAAGCCCAAUCCGGAUCUGAUCCGAGUUGGAUUAGGUUUAGAAGUACUAAUGGGCCUCGGACCCAGAGGCCCGUUAGGAACCUCUAUAAAUAGAGGGGUGGGGGCGCCCUAGGGUUUACACCUUUUGGCGAAAUACAUCUGCCGCGCCUCCCACGCCCUCGCCUGUUGCAACUCACGGAUCUAGCAGUCCGGCUUGCAACGCUUCCUCCCUGCACGUGUGGAUACCUUGGAGGUGUUGCGCCUGCAGCACUCGGACGAGCCGCCGACGAGCCACGACGAGCCACGGCACUGGGGGCGAUCUUGCUGCACGUGAAUGAGCUGUUGAGGAGCUGCUGGACGUUGACGUGAUUGACUACGUACGACUACGUUGAUCGACUACGUACGACUACGUGAUCGUCUUCACUGCAUCGACGCAUAUCUACAUCUUCCGCACCAGUAGUGCGUCGAGUGGUAAUCCCGUGAUCCAUAUACGGCAGUUCUUCCUGGUUUUAUGCGGUAGAAAUUUUGAUUUGCACUAGUGUACCCUACCUCGUAUCCCAACAACCUCCCACGCUCAUCAUCUCACUCGGAUCCCCGACCGCGCACCCCGAUGCCUUCUGGCUUUUCCGUCACCCCCUCAGUCGCGCUGCCCACGCGUGCGCCCCGCGAUGAUACCGCCCUCGCCAACCACGGCGCCUGCAGUGACAAAUCCUUUUCCCGCCCCGCCAGUAACGUGCCUCGGCAAAGCUGUUGGUCUGCGCUUGCUAGCGUCGCCUCUCGCCCUAUCACCUUGCUUGCAGCAUCCUCGCCUGACGUGCCCCUUUCCUUCCUUCCUUG
RNAcentral lists this long non-coding RNA (28067 nucleotides) under Setaria viridis. RNAcentral describes it as "long non-coding RNA (SVIR_LNC004646)". The record is from RNAcentral. Lineage: Eukaryota; Viridiplantae; Streptophyta; Magnoliopsida; Poales; Poaceae.